RNAcentral lists this ribosomal RNA (482 nucleotides) under uncultured bacterium. RNAcentral's name for it is "partial 16S ribosomal RNA". It matches the Rfam family "Bacterial small subunit ribosomal RNA", at positions 28 to 507 of the family's 1533-position model. The record is from RNAcentral.
GAUGAACGCUAGCGGCAGGCCUAAUACAUGCAAGUCGGACGGGAUUCAGGAGCUUGCUUCUGAUGAGAGUGGCGCACGGGUGCGUAACACGUAUGUAACCUACCUUUAUCAGGGGGAUAGCCUCUCGAAAGAGAGAUUAAGCCCGCAUAAAAUCACAGCACAGCAUUGUGUAAUGAUCAAAUAUUUAUAGGAUAAAGAUGGGCAUGCGGAACAUUAGCUAGAUGGCGGGGUAACGGCCCACCAUGGCGACGAUGUUUAGGGGAUCUGAGAGGAUGGCCCCCCACACUGGUACUGAGACCCGGACCAGACUCCUACGGGAGGCAGCAGUAAGGAAGAUUGGUCAAUGGGCGGAAGCCUGAACCAGCCAUGCCGCGUGCAGGAAGACGGCCCUACGGGUUGUAAACUGCUUUUAUACGGGAAUAAACCCAGAUACGUGUAUCUGGCUGAAUGUACUGUAAGAAUAAGGAUCGGCUAACUCCGUG